UACGUAGGGUGCAAGCGUUGUCCGGAAUUACUGGGCGUAAAGGGCUCGUAGGUGGCCAACUAAGUCAGACGUGAAAUCCCUCGGCUUAACCGGGGAACUGCGUCUGAUACUGGAUGGCUUGAGUUUGGGAGAGGGACGCGGAAUUCCUGGUGUAGCGGUGAAAUGCGCAGAUAUCAGGAGGAACACCGGUGGCGAAGGCGGGUCUCUGGGCCGUAACUGACGCUGAGGAGCGAAAGCAUGGGGAGCGAACAGG
Molecule: ribosomal RNA, 253 nt
Filed under: uncultured bacterium
Lineage: Bacteria
Description: partial 16S ribosomal RNA
Rfam family: Bacterial small subunit ribosomal RNA
Source: RNAcentral